AUUUACUUUUUACAAUUUUCUUUUCAGGGAUGGCAUUCUGUCUGAAAUAUAAUAGGCCAGAUAAAUCCCCCAAAUGGUUAAAAAUAAUCACUCCAUAUUACCUUUACCUAAUGGAUUGUUUCGGGAGAAUUAUAGAAGAAAGCAAAUGGCUUGAUACUGGUGACUGAUUCCUGCACUCUCUUCACAUUUUAUCAUUAUCCGAAAUCAACUAAUUUGUAAAUAAAUAAUUUCAUAAUGUACUUCAAAACUAUUACUAGUGUUAUCAUUGUGAUCAUUAUUAUAUUAUCUUAAUUUUUUUAUCAGCUUUGUCUAGUUUCAAAACAAUAAUUUAUUACUGAUUUGAUUAUAUUAGUGGAUGUUUUUCUUUAUAUAUUUGUUUGUUAAAGUAUCGGUUACAGUGUAAUGUGUUAUUUAAUCAAUGCACCUAUGUUUAGAAAUUGAUUUUGCAUCUUCAGAUUUUUUGAAUUUAUUCGCCUAAUCAAUUGAUAUCGGUUGUGUUAAAAGCUAUAAUGUCAAAAAGUAAAUUAUUUGUUAGUUAAGUUUUUUCAGAAUGGGGAUACACACAAAAAUGUCAUGUAAUCUCAAGUUCAUUUUUGAAACUAUCCACAUGUAACAUUCCAUAUAAUAAUUGUAUAUUCAUUCCUAUAAUAAUUGUUGUCAACUACAAACUCUUGAACCUGCAAAACUUAGGUAAUGAACAAUUCUAUCAGAUAAAUAUGAUUUGAAUUAACCAUUUGCUCAUUAUUUUAUAGUGCAAGUUUUAUAGUUUCAUUGAAGUGAUUAACGUUGCUACCUAUAACAUUGUUUUUACCUAUCAGGAGUUGGCAUUUUUGUGUAAUUCUUUAAGGAGUCAACUAUAGAGAUAACAUAAAUGAGAAUCAUAAAAAUGCUACUACUUCUUCAAAUAGCUAGAUAAUAGCCUAUUCGCAAAAUAUUCUCUCUCUUCUCUUGAUAUGCCGAAUUCAUACUACAAUUACUGAUAAAAAAUCAUUUGUACUGAAUUGUAGAAAUCUUAGUUCAUAAUUAGUAAAUUGUAAAGAAAAUAGUAUUAUAUAUGUAAUGUUGAACUGAUUUUUUUUCCAAAAAUUAUUAGUGUUGCUCUAAAUAAUAUAUGUUUGUGUUAAAUAUUAAAAAAAAUUCUAGGAGUUUUCAUUAAUGUUUGGCUGUUAUGCACGAAAUUUGAAAAUAAAUAUAUUAUAGUAGUUA
Molecule: long non-coding RNA, 1206 nt
Organism: Leptinotarsa decemlineata (Colorado potato beetle)
Lineage: Eukaryota; Metazoa; Arthropoda; Insecta; Coleoptera; Chrysomelidae
Source: RefSeq, a predicted model, not a curated record